AACGAACGCUGGCGGCAGGCUUAACACAUGCAAGUCGAACGCUCGUAGCAAUACGGGAGUGGCGGACGGGUGAGUAACGCGUGGGAACGUGCCCUGAGGUACGGAAUAACUGCGGGAAACUGCAGCUAAUACCGUAUGAGCCCCGUGAGGGGGAAAGAUUUAUCGCCUUAGGAGCGGCCCGCGUCGGAUUAGCUAGUUGGUGGGGUAACGGCUUACCAAGGCUUCGAUCCGUAGCUGGUCUGAGAGGACGAUCAGCCACACUGGGACUGAGACACGGCCCAGACUCCUACGGGAGGCAGCAGUGGGGAAUCUUGCGCAAUGGGGGCAACCCUGACGCAGCCAUGCCGCGUGAAUGAUGAAGGCCUUAGGGUUGUAAAGUUCUUUUGCCCGUGACGAUGAUGACGGUAACGGGAGAAUAAGCUCCGGCUAACUACGUGCCAGCAGCCGCGGUAAUGUAGUCGUG
Molecule: ribosomal RNA, 463 nt
Filed under: uncultured bacterium
Lineage: Bacteria
Description: bacterial SSU rRNA
Rfam family: Bacterial small subunit ribosomal RNA
Source: RNAcentral